Molecule: long non-coding RNA, 540 nt
Filed under: Brachypodium distachyon (stiff brome)
Lineage: Eukaryota; Viridiplantae; Streptophyta; Magnoliopsida; Poales; Poaceae
Description: long non-coding RNA (BDIS_LNC002966)
Source: RNAcentral
CCGCUACUAUGGAGGUUGUCGGAGAAGCCCCCGAUGCCGAGGAUGCCCCUGACACCGAAGCAGCCGCCCCAGGAGCACCUCCCGCAUAGUUUCCUUCCUUCUCUUUUUUUUUUACUUCCCUGUAAGUGGCCGCGUGGCGCCUUAGAACUUUUUUAUGUUAGCUUUCCCUUGUCAUUAUCAGUGUUACUCGUCACCUUGUUUCACCCAAGCUUCAAUGUAUAUCCAAUGCUAUUUUCACUUGCUCCUUUGCCUAAAACUAGCUUGCCGGGGAGGGGCUCUGUCCUUCCCGUGUUUUAGCCUUGCGUACCCAAGGACUCACCAACCACGUGCUCUGCCAGACUAGGGACCCGGGACGGACCCGCGGUGCCGACCUAGGACCAAACAGCAGCGGCUAGUCACUCCGCCUGCGGGUUAACUACCCUAGCGCGCACGCCUCCGGGACGGACCCGUGAGCCACGUGUGGGGGGGCGUCCUCACCCUGCAAGCGUCCUUCCUACGCUCCAGCUACACGGGGACCGAGCUUACCCUAGCAAACCAGUG